Chenopodium quinoa (quinoa) is the source of this 645-nucleotide long non-coding RNA. RefSeq lists it as uncharacterized. The transcript has 2 exons. NCBI's taxonomy places the organism in Eukaryota, Viridiplantae, Streptophyta, Magnoliopsida, Caryophyllales, Amaranthaceae. The record is from RefSeq and is a predicted model, not a curated record.
UUUACUUAGGGUUUUCUACGGUUCUACGCUUCUACCUGAGUACCAGCCUCCAUCUUUCAUUUCAUCCAAUAUUCCAAUUCAUUCUAGGGUCUCUACUCUUCUCUAGGUUUCUCCGUUCUCUUCUGUUUUCUCAUCACUCUUUCGUUCUCUGUUCUCAUCUCUCCUCAAAAUCUCAUCCUCCCUGAUUCUCUCGGUCUUUUCCGAAUCUCCGGUACCAGACGCUGUUACUCAACUAUGAGCAAUAUCGGCAAUUCGUCAGUCCCUAUGGAUGAUAUGAAAGUGAGGUUAGAAUUGGCAAUGCAACAACUAAAUCAACCAAGGUCGGUGACAAGAGGAAGUGAGAAUACUGGAACCAUUUUUGGGAAUUUAGAGAUCUGGUAACCAAAAAAAAUUGUUCAAGUCAAAUGCAAAUACUGUGAGAGAAUGCUAACAGGUAAUACUAAUAAUGGAACUUCUUCAUUAAAGAAGCACCUUGGUGCAUGUUCAAAAUACCCUCCAAAUGUAGACAAAAAGAAAAAACUCAUUUAUGUUUACAAGUCUCCUGAAUCUGAUGCUACUAUAGUCUCUAAUUGGAAAUUUGAUGAAACUGCUUGUAGACUUGGUUUGGCAAGAAUGGUUAUUGUUGAUGAACAACCAUUUUCUAUA